RNAcentral lists this unclassified non-coding RNA (200 nucleotides) under soil metagenome. RNAcentral's name for it is "partial contains internal transcribed spacer 2 and large subunit ribosomal RNA". The record is from RNAcentral.
UGUUCGAGCGUCAGUACAACACUCAAGCCCAGCUUGGUAUUGAGCCCCGCGGGAGACCGCCGGCUUUAAAAUCAGUGGCGGCGCCAUCUGGCUCUAAGCGUAGUAAUACUCCUCGCUUCUGGGCCGUGUGGCGGCUGGCCAGCAACCCCCAACUUUCUUAGUUUGACCUCGGAUCAGGUAGGGAUACCCGCUGAACUUAA